AGAGGGGUGCGAGCGUUAAUCGGAAUCACUGGGCGUAAAGGGCUUGUAGGUGGGAUUUGUAAGUUAGAUGUGAAAGGCCUGGGGCUUAACCUAGGGACUGCAUUUAAGACUGUGAAUCUAGAGUAUAGUAGAGGGAAGUGGAAUUUCCGGUGUAGCGGUGAAAUGCGUAGAUAUCGGAAGGAACACCAGUGGCGAAGGCGGCUUCCUGGACUAAUACUGACACUGAAGAGCGAAAGCGUGGGUAGCGAACAGGAUUAGAUACCCUGGUAGUCCACGCCGUAAACGAUGAGAACUAGCUGACUGGAGCUUAGCUCUGGGUGGCGCAGCUAACGCGUUAAGUUCUCCGCCUGGGGAGUACGGCCGCAAGGUUA
This 371-nucleotide ribosomal RNA is filed under the name uncultured organism. RNAcentral describes it as "partial 16S ribosomal RNA". It matches the Rfam family "Bacterial small subunit ribosomal RNA", at positions 526 to 896 of the family's 1533-position model. The record is from RNAcentral.